AACAUGAUUAUUAUUACGACCACCACCACCAUUACCACCGGCGGUGCGGGCUGACGCAUAUCUGAAUCACGAAAAAAGCCCGCACAAAAAAUUGUGCGGGCUUUUUUUU
Molecule: small RNA, 109 nt
Filed under: Morganella psychrotolerans
Lineage: Bacteria; Pseudomonadati; Pseudomonadota; Gammaproteobacteria; Enterobacterales; Morganellaceae
Source: RNAcentral